This 881-nucleotide ribosomal RNA is filed under the name Geastrum setiferum. RNAcentral's name for it is "eukaryotic LSU rRNA". It matches the Rfam family "Eukaryotic large subunit ribosomal RNA", at positions 1 to 863 of the family's 3401-position model. The record is from RNAcentral. Lineage: Eukaryota; Fungi; Basidiomycota; Agaricomycetes; Geastrales; Geastraceae.
UUUGACCUCAAAUCAGGUAGGACUACCCGCUGAACUUAAGCAUAUCAAUAAGCGGAGGAAAAKAAACUAACAAGGAUUCCCCUAGUAACGGCSAGUGAAGAGGGAAAGCUCAAAUUUGAAAUCUGGCGGUCUACGGCCGUCCGAGUUGUAAUCUAGAGAAGUGUUUUCCGCGCUGGAUCGUGUACAAGUCCUUUGGAACAAGGCGUCAUGGAGGGUGAGAAUCCCGUCUACGACACGACCUCCCAGUGCUCUGUGAUACACUCUCAACGAGUCGAGUUGUUUGGGAAUGCAGCUCAAAAUGGGUGGUAAAUUCCAUCUAAAGCUAAAUACAGGCGAAAGACCGAUAGCGAACAAGUACCGUGAGGGAAAGAUGAAAAGCACUUUGGAAAGAGAGUUAAACAGUACGUGAAAUUGUUGAAAGGGAAACGCUUGAAGUCAGUCGCGUCUUCAGAAAUUCAGCCUUGGCUUUUGCUGGGUGUAUUUUUCUGUAGGACGGGCCAGCAUCAGUUUUGGCCGCCAGAAAAAGGUGGGAGGAAGGUGGCACCUCCGGGUGUGUUAUAGCCUCCCGUCGUAUAUGGCGGCUGGGACUGAGGACUGCAGCACGCCUUUAUGGCCGGGGUUCGCCCACGUAACGUGCUUAGGAUGCUGGCGUAAUGGCUUUAAGCGACCCGUCUUGAAACACGGACCAAGGAGUCUAACAUGCCUGCGAGUAUUUGGGUGGUAAACCCAUAUGCGGAAUGAAAGUGAACGGUUGGGACUUCUGUCAUGGAAGGCACCGACGCCCGGACCAGACCUAUUGUGACGGAUCCGAGGUAGAGCAUGUAUGUUGGGACCCGAAAGAUGGUGAACUAUGCCUGAGUAGGGUGAAGCCAGAGGAAACU